RNAcentral lists this small RNA (130 nucleotides) under Edwardsiella tarda. RNAcentral's name for it is "RtT sRNA". It matches the Rfam family "RtT RNA". Rfam says of the family: This family represents a bacterial cis-regulatory element known as RtT RNA. The exact function of RtT is unknown although it is thought that it may be involved in changing the cellular response in relation to amino acid starvation. The record is from RNAcentral. Lineage: Bacteria; Pseudomonadati; Pseudomonadota; Gammaproteobacteria; Enterobacterales; Hafniaceae.
CCAGAACCCGAUCCGGGAAGGUGAGAACCUUCGACAAGGUUCGCGUCGAGCAACGCGCGACCAACGUUGCCGCAGGCAACGGCCCGUAGGGCGAGCCGCAAUGCGGCGAGUCAUCCUUCCCCCACCACCA